GUACACUCCUGCGGGAGGCAGCAGUGGGGAAUAUUGGACAAUGGGCGCAAGCCUGAUCCAGCCAUGCCGCGUGAGUGAUGAAGGCCCUAGGGUUGUAAAGCUCUUUCACCGGUGAAGAUAAUGACGGUAACCGGAGAAGAAGCCCCGGCUAACUUCGUGCCAGCAGCCGCGGUAAUACGAAGGGGGCUAGCGUUGUUCGGAUUUACUGGGCGUAAAGCGCACGUAGGCGGACUAUUAAGUCAGGGGUGAAAUCCCGGGGCUCAACCCCGGAACUGCCUUUGAUACUGGUAGUCUUGAGUUCGAGAGAGGUGAGUGGAAUUCCGAGUGUAGAGGUGAAAUUCGUAGAUAUUCGGAGGAACACCAGUGGCGAAGGCGGCUCACUGGCUCGAUACUGACGCUGAGGUGCGAAAGCGUGGGGAGCAAACAGGAUUAGAUACCCUUGUAGUCCCA
This 450-nucleotide ribosomal RNA is filed under the name uncultured organism. RNAcentral describes it as "partial 16S ribosomal RNA". It matches the Rfam family "Bacterial small subunit ribosomal RNA", at positions 331 to 797 of the family's 1533-position model. The record is from RNAcentral.